UUGCCGUAAAAGCAUUGGACUGAACAUAAACCCAGAAUAUCUGUUGUAGCAGUAGCACUGUCGAUUUCGGUAGGACAGGAGCCGGAAAUCUAGGGUAAAGCUCAGAAAGGACCUGCAAUCAUAGAAGCGGGUCAGGAUGGUGAGGCAAUGCCCUCAUCCUCAGGCUCAGCCUGACCUGCCUGCCCCUGUUUUCCUGUAGCCUAGCAGUGCCCACUAGAUAUUUGACGCUGGUCGCUGGACAGAUCAGAGAUACAGUGGAUUCUCACUUUCUCUCU
Molecule: long non-coding RNA, 275 nt
Filed under: Setaria italica (foxtail millet)
Lineage: Eukaryota; Viridiplantae; Streptophyta; Magnoliopsida; Poales; Poaceae
Description: long non-coding RNA (SITA_LNC004140)
Source: RNAcentral